Molecule: ribosomal RNA, 236 nt
Filed under: Enterobacter roggenkampii
Lineage: Bacteria; Pseudomonadati; Pseudomonadota; Gammaproteobacteria; Enterobacterales; Enterobacteriaceae
Description: partial 23S ribosomal RNA
Rfam family: Bacterial large subunit ribosomal RNA
Source: RNAcentral
GGUUAAGCGACUAAGCGUACACGGUGGAUGCCCUGGCAGUCAGAGGCGAUGAAGGACGUGCUAAUCUGCGAAAAGCGUCGGCGAGGUGAUAUGAACCUUUGACCCGGCGAUGUCCGAAUGGGGAAACCCAGUGUGUUCCGACACACUAUCGUUAACUGAAUACAUAGGUUAACGAGGCGAACCGGGGGAACUGAAACAUCUAAGUACCCCGAGGAAAAGAAAUCAACCGAGAUUCC